RNAcentral lists this ribosomal RNA (248 nucleotides) under uncultured bacterium. Its description in RNAcentral is "partial 16S ribosomal RNA". It matches the Rfam family "Bacterial small subunit ribosomal RNA", at positions 15 to 260 of the family's 1533-position model. The record is from RNAcentral.
GAUCAUGGCUCAGGACGAACGCUGGCGGCGUGCUUAACACAUGCAAGUCGAACGCUGAAGCCUAGCUUGCUGGGUGGAUGAGUGGCGAACGGGUGAGUAACACGUGAGUAACCUGCCCUCUUCUUUGGGAUAACGCCCGGAAACGGGUGCUAAUACUGGAUAUUCACUGGCUUUCGCAUGGGGGUUGGUGGAAAGGUUUUUUCUGGUGGGGGAUGGGCUCGCGGCCUAUCAGCUUGUUGGUGGGGUGA